Salvelinus fontinalis (brook trout) is the source of this 3848-nucleotide RNA transcript. It is a transcript of the gene named coagulation factor XIII B chain-like, with no coding region annotated. The record is from RefSeq and is a predicted model, not a curated record. The transcript has 20 exons. Lineage: Eukaryota; Metazoa; Chordata; Actinopteri; Salmoniformes; Salmonidae.
GCAGCCUGUGGCUCACUGCGCUACAAUACAGGACACGUGUUACCUUCUCAUUUUAGUGCGCUGUUGAGUUGCGUGGACGGACUGUGACUUGAGAGGGCUCUGGUAAAUCAUUGACCGACAGGAGAUAAUUUAACUACUGCAACUCUGUCUGUGACCCACAACAUCCAAACACUCUCGCUGGUGACAGGCAAUAGGUGAUGAAGUCAAAAUGCGAUUGAUAACUCUCAGCUUUGUCUUUGCACUAUGGUUGUGUACACUCAGCUUUGUGAAAGGUCAAGGUUGUCUCCGAAAGGAUGUUUCAGUGAUUCCUGAAACUAAAAACGUGGACAUUUCCAACCUACAAGACACUGAAAGUGGCAAAACAGUGAGGUUGCCCUGCGCUAUUGGCUACGUAGGUUUCGUUAGACUCAAAUGCGACAAUAAAGUAUGGAGAAAAGAUGGUGGUCGAAAAUGUGAACCUAAGUCAUGUGGACAUCCAGGAGACACACCAAAUGGAGACUUCCGUCUUUCGAUUUUGGACGAUUUUGUCUUUGGAGCUCAAGUUCUGUACGAAUGCAGAAAAGGUUACCAAAUGGUGACCAGGACCAGACAUCGGACCUGCGUGGAACAAGGCUGGGACAGCGCACUCCCUAUAUGUGAAGCAUUGAAAUGCCCAGUGAUUCAAGCCAACGACGACGUUGUGGUCAUCGGAAACAGUGAGGAUGCAACCUAUGGAAAUGUGAUCCAGUUUGAGUGCCAAUCAAAUCGCAUGGUACUCAAUGGAUCGUCUGAGAUAGACUGCAACCACAAAGGAGAAUGGAGCAGAACAGUCCCAACAUGUGAAGUGAUUAAAUGUUACGCUCCAGACAUAGCUAAUGGUGAAGUGAUCAGGCCCCCUAGGGACGAUUACAAUGAAGAUGACACACUGAAAUACAGCUGUAACAGAAAUUAUGUUAUGUCUCAAAGAGCCUCUAAAUGCACUAAAAUGGGCAACAUAGCCGACUGGAGUCCAACACCAGAGUGUGAAGAAGUGAAAUGUAAAUUAUCAUUGCCACCAACAAGAGGAACCAGUUACACACCUGCUGGCAGAAAUCUGUUCUUGCCUGGUGAAAGCCUGAAGGUGACCUGUACCCCAGGAUUCUGGAACUUUUUCUCACGUCAGACUGAAGAUACAAUAACAUGCAAAGAGGACGGACAAUGGUCAUCUUCUACAGAUUGUGAACUGAUAACAUGUGGUGAUCCACGUAACUCUCUUGUGAGUUUUCCCCAACGCUGGCAGAGGGGUCAAUUGAGAGAAACUCAGCGUUACAACUGUAGAACCGGAUUUAAAACCGCAAAUACCCGGGGUGUUGCCACAUGCACAAGUGAUGGCUCCUGGACUCCAGACCCACUCUGUGAAGAGAUAACAUGUGACAAGCCAGAUAUCCUAAAUGCUGUGAUUAAAGACCCGAAAACAAGAUACAAAUUCAAUGAUCAGCUCACUUAUGAGUGUAAGAUGAAUUAUGAACUAUUGGACAGUACUACCAGAUCUACUGCUACCUGUACAACAAAUGGCUGGACCAAGACACUUGGCUGUAAAGAAAUAGAGGGAGCAUGUAUCAAUCCCACUGUGAUGAAUGGAUUCAUAGUGUUGAAUCAUAGUGUGAAGGAUGAUCCCAGGAAUAGCAAGAUAUACUAUUCCUGCAAUGUAGGGUUCAAACCAUCUACCGGGGGCUGGUGGGGUGAAGCCACAUGUACUGAGGGAACAUGGUCUGGAAUAUCAAAGUGUAUUGAUCAAUCACAAUGUGGCCCAUACCCUGUCAUUCCCAACACAAAGGUACCUCACAAAGAAGUCUAUUAUAAUGAAAAAACUGUUACAAUUGAUUGCAAAGAUGGAUACACAUCUGAAAAGAUGACUAUAACAUGUAACAAUGGAGAAUGGCAAACACCGUUACCAGCUUGUGAACCGCAAGGCAUUAUAUGUGAUCCUCCACCUAAAGUUGAAAAUGCAAUUGUUAAAAUCCCUUAUCAAAAUACAUAUAUAGAUGGAUUUGAGGUGAAUUAUGAAUGUCGCAAAUCCUUUGAAAUAGAGGGACUUAAAAAAAUUACCUGCAAAAAUGGGAAUUGGACAACUCCACCACCAACAUGCAAACAGUACUGUGGUAAGCCUGAGGGUGCAGGGAGGACAAUGCCGCUGAUUCCUGAUCGAGAGCGUUAUGAAAAUGGGGACCAAGUAGAGUAUGGAUGUCUUGCAACUUGUAAGAACGGAGAGUGGGAUAAGACCAUCAAGGGCAAAGAUUAUUGUAGUAAACCUGAGGGUGCAGACACCAGAAUGCUGCUGAUUCCUGACCGAGAGAGAUAUGAAAAUGGGGACAAAAUAGAUUAUGGUUGCCUUAGCGGCCCAAACACAGGCUCAAGAGGAAAAGCAACUUGCAAGAACGGAGCGUGGAGUAAGACAAUCGAGUGUCAAGUGACCUGUCCCCCAGCCCCUCCUAUUAAUAAUGGAUAUCACACUGUCAAAGAGAGAGAUGGUGAAGGCGCUAUUACAGAGGUUUCCUACCAAUGUAACUUGGAUUAUACACUGAGUUUCACAGGCAGCAUCAGAUGUCUGAAUGGAGAAUGGCAGACCCCACCAAAGUGUUUACAGCCUUGUGAGGUCCACACUUUUGAUGCAGAGUACCAUCUACAGGAUUUACCCCAAAUAAUGUACAUGGAACACGGUGAAAAAAAGACUCUUCGGUGCAAACAUGGAUAUUACCAUAAACAUGCACCUGAAAGCAAUACAGCAGAAAUUGAAGUGGAGUGUAAUGAUGGAGAGAUAAACUAUCCAUUUCCAAAAUGCAUUGCAAGCUGUCCUGAUCCCCCUCCUAUUACUAAUGGAGAUUACACCAAGGAAAAGAGAGAUGUUGAAGGUGUUGUUACAGAGGUGUCCUAUCAAUGCAGCAGACAGUAUACUCUGAGUUUCACAGGCAGCAUCAGAUGUCAGAAUGGAAAAUGGCCGAGCCCUCCAAAGUGUUUACGGCCUUGUGAGAUUUCCACUUUUGAUGAAGAGUACAAUCUAAAGAAUUUACCCAAGAAAGAGAGUAUUGCGCACGGUGAAAAAAAGACUCUCCAUUGCAAAGAGGGAUAUUACCAUGAAUACAAACAUUUUCUACGGAAUAUUUAAAAAAUUGAGGUGAAGUGUGAUGAUGGAGCGAUACAGUAUGGAGAACACAUACCUAUAUGUAGCCGUCGUUAUUCAUAGGUAGAUGAUGAACAUAAUGGAGUCAUGAUGUUCCCUCCAUCAAAUUCAAGAAUCCUUACAAAGCCACCUUUAUAUGCAAGGAGACGACUCAUUUGCUUUUGUGGUGUCUUUGUCGCUUGUUUAAUUUAGGUUUAGAAAAAAGGUGAGCCAGCCAGUAAUGGAAUACAUGUAGUGUCUUUUUCAACAUUUGACAUUUUAUCAUCAUUGUAAAAAAAUAACAUUAUCUUUCAAAUCAUAUCAGUCUCAGCUUCACUAUAAUAACAGUACAGCUAUCUAAAGCUAGACUAAAAUGGUACAUUUGUUGUAUUAGUACAAAGUGAUGUGAUUGUGUGAAUAUCCUUCUAUCAAGUUUAUAAAUUGCCUGGCUGGGCUGAUGAGACAGUGGAUUGCACAGUCAGUUGGAACAGAGUAAAUAGGCAUUUUAACAUCAUAAAUUUAGCCGGUGGUAGCUUGUGGAAUAGACACCGGCUGGAAUGCGGUCUUAACCAAUCAGCAUUCAGGAUUAGACCAACACGCUCUAUAAUGUGUGAAUAUUCUCCUGUAUCUCCCAGCUGUGUGAUUCAUUAUCUGAAGGUGUAAUAAGUGAACAACUGUUGUUAUGAUUGUCCUUAUUAAGGAAGACAAUAAAGUUGUGGAAAAGAGAUGA